GAGCCAAUCAGAGCCUCUCACGGAGAAGCUAUAAAAGCUCAGUGCGGCCUGCUUUGGGUGCCACCACGCUUCUUUCUAGGCGGUAUCUGUUCACCUGUACCUGCGUCCCUAGCAGCUUGGGAGCCCUGCCAGUGCCCCUGGAACUGAACUCCCAGGUGGUGCCAACAGCCCCAGGCCCCACCCUGCUGCAGAUCGCGAGACCAUCGCCUUCUUCAAACCGCUGCUGGUUUUUCCUGACCUUCUGCCCCACGCACAGAAGGGACUGAGCCUCAGUGUCUUCAUCUGUGAAAUGGAGCCAAGAUUCCUACCUCACGGCCAUCACCUGUGCUUUCGAGUGGAAAGAGGACAGCUUCGGAAUCACGGGGACUUGGUCCAGAUCUCAGUGUUGCCACUGGGCAAGUCUAUCUUUCUGGGCUCCGGUUUCUUGUUUGCAGAGAGGGGAGAGUGGAGGCCACUUCUCCAGAGUUGUGAGAACUGGAGUCAACUCCAUCCUUGGCGGUGGCACGUGCUCUGCAAAUGGCAGCAGAUGGUGCCGGUGCCGAGAGGAGAUGUCAGUGUCCCCGUUUCUCAGGCUAGGAAACGGAGGCUCCAAGAGGAGGUUCAAGUGAAUGGUGAGGCUGGGUUGGCCCCAGCCCGUCUGAUGCACACAUAUCCCACUGCCCGCUGAGCCUCUUUCCCUCCUUGAUUGACCCGGAGGAAGCGUUUGCUCCUGGAGGGGCCCAGCCGUCCUCACACAUUGGCCAGAGGCUGGGGGUGACCGUGGCUGACGUGGCAUUUGCUGUCUUUCCCCGGAGCUGCAGUGACAAGCUAACAACUGUUACCAGGAGUCCUGCUUCCCACCACCAGCGAGGGAGAGACGUUGAUGGCAUCCGGAGGGUGGGCCUGGGGCGUUUGAACCCCAGCAUCCAGACUGGCCAGGGUUGGGGGGUGAGCUGGUUGGGGGGGUGAGCUGGCUCCCUCCAGCCCCGGAUCAUUUGAAUCACUCCUCUGGUGCCCAGCCCAUGUUUGUUUUGUCUUUCUGGGUUUCAGCCCUUUGGCCAGUGGGAGGUUAAAGAUUACUGAGGCAGCUGACAAUAAAGUGCCCGGCACACUGGCC
This is a long non-coding RNA of Bos taurus (domestic cattle), 1096 nucleotides long. The record is from Ensembl. Lineage: Eukaryota; Metazoa; Chordata; Mammalia; Artiodactyla; Bovidae.